Molecule: ribosomal RNA, 899 nt
Filed under: Vagococcus fluvialis
Lineage: Bacteria; Bacillati; Bacillota; Bacilli; Lactobacillales; Enterococcaceae
Description: partial 16S ribosomal RNA
Rfam family: Bacterial small subunit ribosomal RNA
Source: RNAcentral
UUAUAUUUUUUUUUUUUUUGUUCAGCAGGAUCGAUGGGGGCGUCCCUAAAUACAUCCAAGUAGUAGAUUUUUAUUUUCUCGGAGAGAUUUCUCCUCCAAAAAAUAAAAGAGUGACGCAGGGAAAGUAUCUGGUGGGCAACCUCCCCUACAGAGGGAGUAACCCGUGGAAACCAGGUCUUAUUCCCGCAUAUUUGUUAUCCCACAUAUUAGAAUAAUAAAAGACCUUUUGGUGUCACUAUUGGAUGGGCCCCCGCGGCAUUAGUUAGUUGGUGGGGUAAUGGCCUACCAAGCCAGUGAUCCAUAUCCGCCCUGAGAGGGUGAUCGSCCCCACUGGGACUGAGACGCGGCCCAGAUUCCUACGGGAGGCACCAGUAGGGAAUCUUCGCCAAUGGACGAAAGUUUGACGGAGCACCCCCGGGGGAGUGAAGAAGGUUUUCGGAUCGUAAAACUCUGUUGUUAAAGAAGACCAAGUGGGAGAGUAAAUGUUCACCCCUUGACGGUAUCUAACCAGAAAGCCACGGCUAACUACGUGCCAGCAGCCGCGGUAAUACGUAGGUGGCAAGCGUUGUCCGGAUUUAUUGGGCGUAAAGCGAGCGCAGGCGGUUUUUUAAGUCUGAUGUGAAAGCCCCCGGCUCAACCGGGGAGGGUCAUUGGAAACUGGGGAACUUGAGUGCAGAAGAGGAGAGUGGAAUUCCAUGUGUAGCGGUGAAAUGCGUAGAUAUAUGGAGGAACACCAGUGGCGAAGGCGACUCUCUGGUCUGUAACUGACGCUGAGGCUCGAAAGCGUGGGGAGCAAACAGGAUUAGAUACCCUGGUAGUCCACGCCGUAAACGAUGAGUGCUAAGUGUUGGAGGGUUUCCGCCCUUCAGUGCUGCAGCUAACGCAUAAGCACUUCCGCA